Molecule: transfer RNA, 73 nt
Filed under: Zancudomyces culisetae
Lineage: Eukaryota; Fungi; Kickxellomycota; Harpellomycetes; Harpellales; Legeriomycetaceae
Rfam family: tRNA
About the family: Transfer RNA (tRNA) molecules are approximately 80 nucleotides in length. Their secondary structure includes four short double-helical elements and three loops (D, anti-codon, and T loops).
Source: Rfam by way of RNAcentral
GCCCGGCUAGCUCAAUCGGUAGAGCGUGAGACUCUUAAUCUCAAGGUUGCGGGUUCGAUCCCCGCGUUGGGCU